This 859-nucleotide long non-coding RNA is filed under the name Apteryx owenii (little spotted kiwi). RNAcentral's name for it is "lncRNA (ENSAOWG00000009040.1)". The record is from RNAcentral. Lineage: Eukaryota; Metazoa; Chordata; Aves; Apterygiformes; Apterygidae.
UUGCUCUUCAGGUAUGCAUGGAAGCAAAUCCUCAACUCAGAAAACCUUGAGUAUGAAAAAAUGAUGUUUCCUUUGCUGCAAUUUUAAAGUGAGUUAGAAAGAUCCAGUCUUAUAAGCAAAUAAUAUCUGUGCUAGAAUUCAGCUGACCUCUGGGGUCCUCAGCUCUGCAGUGCUGAUGGGACGAUACUGCRUGGGAAGUGCCCCUGAAUUUAGGUGCUCAUCAAACUGAGGCCGCCAGCCACUGUUUGCUUAUGAGCCUGUCGUGUUCGACACAGCCCCCCGGAAAGUAACCUACUGUAGGAGAGAACUGUUCUCCAAUCCUAAUUGGCUCUCUGAGGAACUCGGGCUGAACGUCCCCAGAAGAAGGCUGUUUGGAGAGAGUUUUUCUUCAUCCAGAUCUGGAUGUUUAAAAUCCUGGGGAAGAAACUUAUAGUUGGGACCUCUAUUGGAGAAGAAAUUCGGCUUCUAUUUUCCUAUCUGUCCUCAAACGGAAUGCAGGAGGGUAUCAGGGAAAGGUGGAACCGAUAGUGACUUGUGCCAGUGCAGCUCUUCUAGUACAAGGCUGCAGUGGGCGGGAGUGGUUGGUCCUACCGCUGCCUCCACCAGGCCCCGUCCCUGCUGCCACCUCUCCAGGAGAUGUGUCACCAYCUGCAUGUCAUUCGGAGAGGCAAUUGCAGCAAACAUCCGAGCAAACAGUCCUUUCAGCGGCAGAUGGUAUCCCUCCACACGCACGCAAAACGUCUCCAACCCUCCGGGAGCAGCAUGUGCCUUCAACUCUUUCCUGUGUAACAUAACCUAUAGGGCACGCGUUGCAACCUUACAUCUGCUCCUUUUAGCCUAUGUUCCUGUAUCUCUCUAG